Nerophis ophidion (straightnose pipefish) is the source of this 1264-nucleotide long non-coding RNA. RefSeq lists it as uncharacterized. NCBI's taxonomy places the organism in Eukaryota, Metazoa, Chordata, Actinopteri, Syngnathiformes, Syngnathidae. The transcript has 3 exons. The record is from RefSeq and is a predicted model, not a curated record.
UAGCGGUGGUUAGAGGAUUCGGGAUCAAGCUGCUGAUCGAAUACUAAUGAGAACUAAUGGAGGAACUGCUUAAGGGGUGAGGAAUAUUGGGCUCCCGAGGUGUGGGAGGAAUAGCUGCAGGUGAAAGUGGAAAGGUGCUUGUCCCGGCAUGACUACCUCACAGUCCUCGUCUGAUCGGCACGCUAACCGAAGGUGCCAACAUGGGCAGACAGCGUCUGGAAGGCGGCCAUCAAAUCAUGCAGCAGUUGGUCAUCACCAGAGAAUAAGAGAGGCGCUGCAGCAAAUACGGACAAAGCGCAGACAAAAACCCUUGCUGCCCAAAAGGAUGAGAAAAAAGGGGUCAGCCGGGGGACAAAACACGGAGGAUGUCGGCCCCGGAGAAGCUGACCUUCAAGGAGCGCCGGCGUCUGUUUUCUAAACAAAGACUCCUGAUUAGUCUGCAGUAACAUAUUGUGUCAUUUAUACACCUAUUAUUUUAUACACAUUAUGGGGAACAAACUGUAAAAAUUGAUUAUUAAUCAACUUGUUCAUUUACUGUUAAUAUCUGCUUAUUUUCUCUUUCAACAUGUUCUAUCUACACUUCUGUUCAAAUGUAAUAAUCACUUAUUCUUCUCGUCUUUGAUACCACACAUUAGUUUUGGAUGAUACCACACAUUUAGGUAUCGAUGCGAUACCAAGUAGUUACAGGAUCAUGCAAUAAAAUAUAAUACCUAAUAAAGCAAUAAUAAUAUGGUUAAACAAUACUGAUAUAAAGGGUAGGUGUUGCCCUGUUUUCUGUUUUAACAUGUGCUAUCUACACUUCUGUCCAAAUGUAAUAAUCACUUAUUCUUCUCUUCUUUGAUACUUGACAUUAGUUUUGGAUGAUACCACACAUUUAGGUAUCAAUCCGAUACCAAGUAGUUACAGGAUCAUACAUUGGUCAUAUUCAAAGUCCUCAUGUGUCCAGGGACAUAUUUACUGACUUUAUAAACAUAAUAUGAAUUUUAAAAAAAGAUGAUGUGAUAACAAAUAUCCAUGUAAUCAUAGUAGUAUCGUAUUAAUGUUGUUUAUAAUGUGUAUUUAUAAUAAGUUGUGCAAAGGACAUUUUAUAACUUUCGGAAGUUUAUUUUGUACUUGAAAUUGUUUAUAGGGUUAGGCGCAAUAAGUGUUUAACUUCAGCCUAAACCCUUUCGGUCUGUAACAUUUUUUAUUUUCAAUCCAUGAAUGUACAACUUUUUAUUUUCAAUCUAUGAAUGUACAACGGUUUGUUUGCUUUGUUGACCAU